AGAGUUUGAUCCUGGCUCAGGAUGAACGCUAGCUACAGGCUUAACACAUGACAAGUCGGAGGGGAAACGACAUCGAAAAGCUUGUCUUUUGAGUGGGCGUCGACCGGCUACGGGUGAGUAACGCGUAUCCAACCUGCCCACCACUUGGGGAUAACCUUGCGAAAGUAAGACUAAUACCCAAUGAUAUCUCUAGAAGACAUCUGAAAGAGAUUAAAGAUUUAUCGGUGAUGGAUGGGGAUGCGUCUGAUUAGCUUGUUGGCGGGGUAACGGCCCACCAAGGCAACGAUCAGUAGGGGUUCUGAGAGGAAGGUCCCCCACAUUGGAACUGAGACNCGGUCCAAACUCCUACGGGAGGCAGCA
Molecule: ribosomal RNA, 360 nt
Filed under: uncultured bacterium
Lineage: Bacteria
Description: bacterial SSU rRNA
Rfam family: Bacterial small subunit ribosomal RNA
Source: RNAcentral